This 700-nucleotide ribosomal RNA is filed under the name uncultured archaeon. RNAcentral describes it as "bacterial SSU rRNA". It matches the Rfam family "Archaeal small subunit ribosomal RNA", at positions 223 to 859 of the family's 1478-position model. The record is from RNAcentral.
UAUUCAGUCUGUGUGGUGGAGGGUAGUGGCGCCGCGCAAGACUAGUUACAGUGACCGGGCUGUGGAGAGGAGUAGGCCCGGAGAUUGGUUACUGAGACACGGACGCGGGCCGUAUGGGGCGCAGCAGGCGAGAAAACUUUGCAAUGUGCGAAAGCACGACAAGGUAAUCCGAGUGGUUUCUGUCUAUAGAUAACCUUUUGUCAGUCCUAGAAACACUGAUGAAUAAGGGGUGGGCAAGUUCUGGUGUCAGCCGCCGCGGUAAAACCAGCACCUCAAGUGGUCAGGAUGAUUAUUGGGCCUAAAGCAUCCGUAGCCGGCUCUGUAAGUUUUCGGUUAAAUCUGUACGCUCAACGUACAGGGCUGCACGGGAAUAGCUGCUAGAGCUUAUGGGAUGUGGGAUGAGGUAGUCUGGUAGCUCUGGUAUGGAAUGGGUGUAAUAAUCCUUGUUGAUGCGUAGUUGAUUGACGCAUCGCUGUAGGCAGAAGAGCUGGUCGUAGCCGAGAUAGCACAGUUCACGUACAGGUGAUCGGGAGUGAAGAGGCUGUGGGGUAGCUAUACCAGGAGUUAGAUAGCCCUGGGUAGUCACCAGCGUGUAAUACUAUGCAAACUCAGUGAUGCAGUUGGCUUGUGGCCAAUGCAGUGCUGCAGGGAAGCCGUUAAGUUUGCCGCCUGGGAGUACGUACGCAAGUAUGAAACUCAA